CCAGCAAAUAAGGAAAAUUCCAUAAGGACAAUGGAAAUGUUUGAAUAUAUUUGUAAAAAAUAAAUAUUUCAUCAGUUCAGGUCUGACAAGAGUCCUAAAGGAUAUUGAUUGGUUACACGCUGCACGAUUGCAUCAAGCAUUGUUAAAAUGGGAAGAAGAAAAAAGCUAAAAUACCUUUCGUGUCCUAAAUACAUACACUCCUGAUCGAUUAAAGGAAUGAGUUCUAUCUCAAAUUCAUAUUUCAUAGUUAGAAUUUUGCAAUUAGAAAGUUGUCCUGAGCCCUGUCUCUUUUAUGAAACCUAUCGUGCAUUUGAAUUCCGUCUAUCAAACACCAGCAAAAAGCCACCAGAUGAUGAAUCUACCAGCUGGGAGAGUGGAUUCAGCAGACAAUCUGGGCAGCAACAAACAUUCCAGAAAGAGGGUGAGGUAAUUUUGAUACACCUGAUGUGGGAAGAACUACAAUGGAGACUCCAGAACAGAAGUUAGUUUUGAAGAAGUGGGCAGCUGCUAAGAAGAGGCCAGUAUUUUGGGAGAAAGAAGAGAGGGAAAGAGAACCAAAAGAAAUAAUUAAAAUUAAAAAAUAAAAUAAAAUUAAAAAAAU
RNAcentral lists this long non-coding RNA (601 nucleotides) under Coturnix japonica (Japanese quail). RNAcentral describes it as "lncRNA (ENSCJPG00005001229.1)". The record is from RNAcentral. Lineage: Eukaryota; Metazoa; Chordata; Aves; Galliformes; Phasianidae.